GCUGAAAUAGCUCAACUGUGAGAGUGUUAGACUGAAGAUCUAAAGGUCCCUGGUUCAAUUCCAGAUUUCAGAA
Molecule: non-coding RNA, 73 nt
Organism: Budorcas taxicolor (takin)
Lineage: Eukaryota; Metazoa; Chordata; Mammalia; Artiodactyla; Bovidae
Source: the annotation of a RefSeq genome assembly